CCAGACUCCUACGGGAGGCAGCAGUGGGGAAUAUUGCACAAUGGGGGAAACCCUGAUGCAGCGACGCCGCGUGAGCGAUGAAGUAUUUCGGUAUGUAAAGCUCUAUCAGCAGGGAAGAAAAUGACGGUACCUGACUAAGAAGCCCCGGCUAACUACGUGCCAGCAGCCGCGGUAAUACGUAGGGGGCAAGCGUUAUCCGGAUUUACUGGGUGUAAAGGGAGCGUAGACGGUACUGCAAGUCAGGUGUGAAAGGCCGGGGCUCAACCCCGGGACUGCAUUUGGAACUGUAAGGCUAGAGUGUAGGAGAGGCAGGCGGAAUUCCUAGUGUAGCGGUGAAAUGCGUAGAUAUUAGGAGGAACACCAGUGGCGAAGGCGGAUUGCUGGACAGUAACUGACGCUGAGGCGCGAAAGCGUGGGGAGCAAACAGGAUUAGAUACCCGUGUA
Molecule: ribosomal RNA, 444 nt
Filed under: uncultured bacterium
Lineage: Bacteria
Description: bacterial SSU rRNA
Rfam family: Bacterial small subunit ribosomal RNA
Source: RNAcentral